This 469-nucleotide ribosomal RNA is filed under the name uncultured bacterium. RNAcentral's name for it is "bacterial SSU rRNA". It matches the Rfam family "Bacterial small subunit ribosomal RNA", at positions 335 to 796 of the family's 1533-position model. The record is from RNAcentral.
ACUCCUACGGGAGGCAGCAGUGGGGAAUAUUGCACAAUGGGCGCAAGCCUGAUGCAGCCAUGCCGCGUGUAUGAAGAAGGCCUUCGGGUUGUAAAGUACUUUCAGCAGUGAGGAAGGUGGGUAUGUUAAUAGCAUACUCAUUUGACGUUAGCUGCAGAAGAAGCACCGGCUAACUACGUGCCAGCAGCCGCGGUAAUACGUAGGUGGCAAGCGUUGUCCGGAAUUAUUGGGCGUAAAGCGCGCGCAGGUGGUUUAAUAAGUCUGAUGUGAAAGCCCACGGCUCAACCGUGGAGGGUCAUUGGAAACUGUUAAACUUGAGUGCAGGAGAGAAAAGUGGAAUUCCUAGUGUAGCGGUGAAAUGCGUAGAGAUUAGGAGGAACACCAGUGGCGAAGGCGGCUUUUUGGCCUGUAACUGACACUGAGGCGCGAAAGCGUGGGGAGCAAACAGGAUUAGAUACCCUGGUAGCUA